RNAcentral lists this ribosomal RNA (230 nucleotides) under uncultured bacterium. Its description in RNAcentral is "partial 16S ribosomal RNA". It matches the Rfam family "Bacterial small subunit ribosomal RNA", at positions 563 to 791 of the family's 1533-position model. The record is from RNAcentral.
AAGGGUCCGUAGGCGGACUCGUAAGUCAGUGGUGAAAUCUCAUUAGCUUAACUAUGAAACUGCCAUUGAUACUGCGGGUCUUGAGUAAGGUAGAGGUAGCUGGAAUAAGUAGUGUAGCGGUGAAAUGCAUAGAUAUUACUUAGAACACCAAUUGCGAAGGCAGGUUACCAUGUCUUAACUGACGCUGAUGGACGAAAGCGUGGGGAGCGAACAGGAUUAGAUACCCGGGU